GUAAAUCAUUCUAAGUGAGGCUUCCUAACAUCUUACUAGCCUAGGAUUAAUAUCAGCCCAUUUUUUGGAGGAGAACCAACAAGACUGGCUAUUUGACUGGAUCCCCCAAUUGGUUUACUCCAAGAUUCCUCUUCAUUGGCUUAAGAAGAUACAAGACAGGAGUCUCCAAUCCUUAGACCAUGGACCAAUAUCAACCAUGGCCAGUUAGCAACCCGGUAACAAAGCAGGAGCAGCCCUGAGAAGUAAAUACUGUUGCUGUCAUCCCUAUUUUACAAAUGAGGAAACAAAAAUAGAGAAAUGAAGCAAUUUGUCCAAGAUCACUCUGCUGGCAAGCAACAGAACCAGGAGUUUAACCCAGGUAAAUGUGCUGUUAACCCCAUAGCAUAGACACCUCUGGACUUCUGAAACAGAAUCCUGUGACCACCGUGGAUGAAACAUAGACUCUCAUUAAGCUGCAGUUCCAAUGCCUGAGUAGCGUGAAUUGCUUCUAUGAUAAGGCAUUAUUUAGCCUUUGCCUGAAACAGCCCUAAUGAGAAGGAUCUCGCCACCUCAUGGCAUGGUCCAGUUCAUUUUCAGAAGCUUUCUUUGUAAUCUGUGCUUAUAAAAUUGUUAACAGGGGAUAGCUAAU
This 628-nucleotide long non-coding RNA is filed under the name Homo sapiens (human). RNAcentral describes it as "HSALNT0159764". The record is from RNAcentral. Lineage: Eukaryota; Metazoa; Chordata; Mammalia; Primates; Hominidae.